This 271-nucleotide ribosomal RNA is filed under the name uncultured bacterium. RNAcentral's name for it is "partial 16S ribosomal RNA". It matches the Rfam family "Bacterial small subunit ribosomal RNA", at positions 62 to 339 of the family's 1533-position model. The record is from RNAcentral.
UCGAACGCGAAAGUCCUUCGGGAUGAGUAAAGUGGCGCACGGGUGAGUAAUACAUGAGAACAUGCCCUUAGAUGGGGAAUAACGUUUGGAAACGAACGCUAAUACCGCAUAAUCUCGCAAGAGUAAAGGUGGCGCCGCAAGGGCUACCGUCUAAGGAUUGGCUCAUGUCCCAUUAGCUAGUUGGCGGGGUAAUGGCCCACCAAGGCGACGAUGGGUAACUGGUCUGAGAGGAUGAUCAGUCACACUGGAACUGAGACAGGGUCCAGACUCC